RNAcentral lists this ribosomal RNA (440 nucleotides) under uncultured bacterium. RNAcentral describes it as "partial 16S ribosomal RNA". It matches the Rfam family "Bacterial small subunit ribosomal RNA", at positions 338 to 795 of the family's 1533-position model. The record is from RNAcentral.
CCUACGGGUGGCAGCAGUGGGGAAUAUUGCACAAUGGGGGAAACCCUGAUGCAGCGACGCCGCGUGAAGGAAGAAGUAUUUCGGUAUGUCAACUUCUAUCAGCAGGGAAGAAAAUGACGGUACCUGACUAAGAAGCACCGGCUAACUACGUGCCAGCAGCCGCGGUAAUACGUAGGGGGCACGCGUGAUCCGGAUUUACUGGGGGUAAAGGGAGCGGAGGCGGUUUAGCAAGUCCGAAGUGAAAGCCCGGGGCUCAAAUCCGGGACGGCUUUUGAAACUGUUGAACUAGAUUGCAGGAGAGGUAAGUGGAAUUCCUGGUGUAGCGGUGAAAUGCGUAGAUAUUAGGAGGAACACCAGUGGCGAAGGCGGCUUACUGUACUGUAAAUGACGCUGAGGCUCGAAAGCGUGGGGAGCGAACAGGAUUAGAUACCCCAGUAGUC